Molecule: long non-coding RNA, 2060 nt
Organism: Betta splendens (Siamese fighting fish)
Lineage: Eukaryota; Metazoa; Chordata; Actinopteri; Anabantiformes; Osphronemidae
Exons: 4
Source: RefSeq, a predicted model, not a curated record
UUCAUUCCUUUCUUCUCUGAAGCACCACCUUGAUGCCUGUUUGAACUGCGCUUCCUGCAUGAAAGAGGUUGGGGAUGACGAUAGAGUGGCUGGUAGCAACAAAGUUUAUUUAUUGCUUCAAGAAUUUCUCAGUUUUCUCCUCAUUGUUGGGUAGUUCGACGAUUUGUCUCAGUCAGUGUUUGUACAGCAGGGAUGACUAUUGUGAGGAAGGAUAUUUAGUCUGAUUCAGCCGGGGCAGACAUCCCCUCCCUGCUGCAUAGGAGCAGCUCACACCAAAAGGAAAACUGUGCAGGCAACACAUCCACCACUGUCUCAUCUUCUAAAUUACAUCCAUGUAAAAGAAUUAAAGACUGAAGACCAAUUUUCCCACAGAAGAAUAGAGCGUGGACGUGUUUUAUUGCUUUGCUCCUUGCAUGUCCACGUUUGGCUUUGUUCGCCUCUGACCUCAUUUGGCUCAAGCUGCAGAACCCAGAGAUGGUCCAGUGGAUUUCUGCAAACACUUCAGCGCCACACUAAUGCUUUGUGACAAUCUGUUUUUGUGUUUUGCACGGUUUGAGAGGCGGCGGUGGGAGUGACGUUGCUUCUAAUUGGACAUAAUGAUAAAGAAAAGGAAUUUUUAGGAUCAUCAUGGGAAUGGGUUUGUACAAGAUCAGAACCAAGGAGAUAUUUCAGGUCAAUGUGAUGGAGUAAAAGGAGGAAACGGACCCUAAACAUUGCUCCUCACUCCAGUGUGUGAAAUAAGAGCAACGUCCUUCAAGUUGGACCUUCGUCUGGACAAAAAAGGUAGAGGGUCUUUGCCCACAGGGCUGAGAUGUGUACUGUGUUUAUAUUGAACCUGGAGGAACCUACAAGAAGGAUUGAUGAAGGAAGGCACCAUCUCCAGCUCGUGGUUCUUACUGGGAGCCCUUCGUCUGGAGCAGCAAAGCAGAGAAGAGGGCAGUGAAGGCUGCCAGGAAGCUGCAGCGUUGCAACAUUAUGUCUGCAUGUACUGAAGCGCACCAGUUUAAAGUCAAGAUUGUGUUAUAGUCCGUUGGGGGCCACGCACUGUCAACUUCCCAACAGAAGCAGUGCAAGAGAGGCGAGCGGGCUCAGAAGUGAGGAGCAGCUGGGAAAUCAGGUGAUGGAGAAGGUGGAGCGCGUUGACCGCGGGUCAGGAUCUCAGAGAUGCUGAGAGACGAUGGAGGAAAUCAUGCUGUUGCAACCUGCAUUAGGCCUAAGGCUUCUCAGGAGGGGGCUGCAGUCAUAAGCAGCCGGCAGGAAUUCAGAUUUGCAGGAUCACCACAGUAACUGUAAUAAGUGUAUGGUGCUUCUGAGAAGAGGAUUAAAGCUUUGGGCCAAGCUUUUUUCUUUCUAUUGGUACUUUAAAACCUGAAAACAUCGUGAGCUGAGGCGAGAGCCAAGGUUCAGAGAGAGGUCGUCACUUACGACCGUCAUUACAUUAUGACUAAAAACUUACAGUAGGUUUAAGAUAUGAUAUAAUAGAGUCUUACAAAAAGCUAGGAUUAAGCAUUUUGCUGAGGGUUGUUAAGGCUGAGUAGGUGUUGCUAGCUGUUGAGUUGGCUGCUUUGCUGUGAGGCCGGACUUGUAGAAGCUUGUCAGUUACAGCGUUCGCAGUCAGGACCUGCCUCUGGCUCGUCUUUUUACAGCGUGAACAGACCCAUACAGUGUCUGAGAGGCUGCUGAAACAGUUACCGUGUGAGCGUAUGUGCUACGGUCCCGUACUGAUCCUGCUGCUCGCCCUCACGGUUCCUCUUACGUCACCGUGACUCUGGCUACGAACCAAAACCCCUCCUAUUUGACCGGUUUAUUGCAUUAUUCAAUGACGAGAAAUAAAGGCAAGGAGAGAUGAGAUCAUAAAGGACUUUGUCACCAACUGUAUGUUGCAACCGAUGGACCCUGGGCCCCUAAGUGCACAUCACAUCGCCUCUCAGUCACCUACUAAUAUAUACAGUAAAGGCUGUAGAUGAACGAACCAGCCUGGCGGCUCCUGCAGUCGGUCUGAACUAAGGUCCAGUUUACACUGGUGCUGGCUGCAGAUAUGCCCAUUGUGCUGCCUGGGA